Molecule: ribosomal RNA, 491 nt
Filed under: uncultured bacterium
Lineage: Bacteria
Description: partial 16S ribosomal RNA
Rfam family: Bacterial small subunit ribosomal RNA
Source: RNAcentral
AGUGAACGCUGGCGGUAGGCCUAACACAUGCAAGUCGAACGGCAGCACAGUAAGAGCUUGCUCUUACGGGUGGCGAGUGGCGGACGGGUGAGGAAUACAUCGGAAUCUACUUUUUCGUGGGGGAUAACGUAGGGAAACUUACGCUAAUACCGCAUACGACCUACGGGUGAAAGCAGGGGAUCUUCGGACCUUGCGCGAUUGAAUGAGCCGCUGUCGGAUUAGCUAGUUGGCGGGGUAAAGGCCCACCAAGGCGACGAUCCGUAGCUGGUCUGAGAGGAUGAUCAGCCACACUGGAACUGAGACACGGUCCAGACUCCUACGGGAGGCAGCAGUGGGGAAUAUUGGACAAUGGGCGCAAGCCUGCUCCAGCCAUACCGCGUGGGUGAAGAAGGCCUUCGGGUUGUAAAGCCCUUUUGUUGGGAAAGAAAAGCAGCAGGUUAAUACCCCGCUGUUCUGACGGUACCCAAAGAAUAAGCACCGGCUAACUUCGU